GAAAGCUACCGUAUAGGGAUGAGCCUGCGUACCAUUAGCUAGUAGGUGGGGUAACGGCNCACCUAGGCAACGAUGGUUAGCGGGUCUGAGAGGAUGAUCCGCCACACUGGAACUGGAACACGGACCAGACUCCUACGGGAGGCAGCAGUGAGGAAUAUUGCGCAAUGGGGGCAACCCUGACGCAGCGACGCCGCGUGAGUGAGGAAGGUUUUCGGAUUGUAAAGCUCUGUCAGAAGGGAAGAAAUGCUAUGUGGUUAAUAUCCAUGUAGUUUGACGGUACCUUCAGAGGAAGCACCGGCUAACUCCGUGCCAGCAGCCGCGGUAAUACGGAGGGUGCAAGCGUUGUUCGGAAUUACUGGGCGUAAAGGGCGCGUAGGCGGGCUUGAUAAGUCAGAUGUGAAAAGUCCAUGGCUCAACCGUGG
RNAcentral lists this ribosomal RNA (422 nucleotides) under uncultured bacterium. RNAcentral's name for it is "bacterial SSU rRNA". It matches the Rfam family "Bacterial small subunit ribosomal RNA", at positions 207 to 618 of the family's 1533-position model. The record is from RNAcentral.